RNAcentral lists this unclassified non-coding RNA (404 nucleotides) under Hevea brasiliensis (rubber tree). The record is from RNAcentral. Lineage: Eukaryota; Viridiplantae; Streptophyta; Magnoliopsida; Malpighiales; Euphorbiaceae.
GUAUCAGUUCAGGAAGUUCCAGUGGUAGAAUCUCAUUUAUCCUCUUGUGUCAGUUUGGAGUUCCCAUUUUAUAUUUUUUAUCCAAAAUAGUGUUUUUAAUGCACACGCGCACACACAUCACGAGUUUAUGGAAGUUCUUUGUGUUUGGAAAUUGUAAGAGAGCAUAUACCCAAGUACCUGUGAUGAGUUAAAUAUUGCCAAUGCCUUAUUAGAUUGUUAUCUGUGUUUGUCUUUCUCUAAUGGAUUUUACUGCUCAUUAAUCUACUUUAAUUAUGUUUAGUAUGGUGUGGCUAUCCCUUUGAAUGCUGAAUCCUUCACUUAGUGUAGAAUUCAAUAAAUUAAAAUUGAAAUGUGUUAUUAGAAAGAAAACUGAAACUAGGUUUCUCACGCGUUUUUGUGGCUCU